This 67-nucleotide transfer RNA is filed under the name Diatrichalus sp. BM0159. RNAcentral describes it as "tRNA-Glu". The record is from RNAcentral. Lineage: Eukaryota; Metazoa; Arthropoda; Insecta; Coleoptera; Lycidae.
AUUUCUAUUUAUAUAGUUUAAAUAAAACAUUACAUUUUCAUUGUAAAAUUAAAUGACAUUUUUAUAA